Long non-coding RNA from Pseudopipra pipra, 855 nucleotides. RefSeq lists it as uncharacterized. The transcript is spliced from 3 exons. NCBI's taxonomy places the organism in Eukaryota, Metazoa, Chordata, Aves, Passeriformes, Pipridae. The record is from RefSeq and is a predicted model, not a curated record.
CCGCGGGGCCCGGGGACGCGGCGGGCACGGCGGGGACGGGGGCGAGCGGGAUCCGCCGUCCCUGAGGGAGAGUGCCCGACGGCUUGGAGUUGUGCUGUCACUCUGCUGCUGUGCAAAAACGGGGCACAGUAACUAUGAUGUGCUAAGGAACACCAGGGCUCAGGGAAAAUCUGUGAUGUUGUCCUAGGGAUGUGAGCUAAAAUUUCCUAAAAGUGACAUGUGUUGACAUAUCUCUUUUGGCUCUAAGUCAGGCCAUGGGUUUGGAUUAGUGCACUGUGAGAACUAGAAUCCAAAAAAAUAUCCUGUUGUCCAUCUUAACCAUCAAAAUCACUACUCAUCUUUGUAUCAUCACUUUCCAGUUCACAAAAGAAAUUACGUUUCUCAGAUGGGCUUGCCUAAAUACUUUUUACAGUUUAUUUGCAGAGCUACCAUCCUGAUUCUCCAUGUCACUGAUGUCAAGCAGCUCUCCUGGAAGCCUUCAAGGACAACAGAAAAUAACUUAUGACAAUUAGACUAAAUAGCAGAAAUGAACUAUUUUAAUCCUUCACUCUAAGGACAAAAACACAUGCUGCACUACAGCUGUGAACUCAGUAACUCAGGAAGUUGGCUGGGGGCAGACAGGAAGCUGGGAGGGAACCAGCAGAGCAGUUGACCUGAAGUGGCCAAAGGGAUGGUCCAUACCAUAUGGUACCAUGCUCAGCAAUAAGAACUGAGGUGGAAGGCAAAGAAGGGGAGAUUGUCUUCCAAGGUGUCUCCUGAUUUGACAUCAGUCUGCUUGUGAGAGGUGGUGAAUGAUUGCCUGUGCAUGGGACAUCACAUCUCUUUCCUUCACGUAUUAAAUUUGUUUUUACCUCA